CUUGGUCAUUUAGAGGAAGUAAAAGUCGUAACAAGGUUUCCGUAGGUGAACCUGCGGAAGGAUCAUUAUUGAAAUAAACCUGAUAAGUUGCUGCUGGUUCUCUARGGAGCAUGUGCACACUUGUCAUCUUUGUAUCUUCACCUGUGCACCUUUUGUAGACCUGAGUAUCUCUCUGAAUGUUUUAGCACUCAGGAUUGAGGAUUGACUUUCUGUCUCUUCUUUACAWUUUCAGGUCUAUGUUUCUUCAUAUACCCUAAUGUAUGUUUAUAGAAUGUAAUUAAUGGGCCUUUGUGCCUAUAAAUCUAUACAACUUUCAGCAACGGAUCUCUUGGCUCUCGCAUCGAUGAAGAACGCAGCGAAAUGCGAUAAGUAAUGUGAAUUGCAGAAUUCAGUGAAUCAUCGAAUCUUUGAACGCACCUUGCGCUCCUUGGUAUUCCGAGGAGCAUGCCUGUUUGAGUGUCAUUAAUAUAUCAACCUUCUUUGGUUGGAUGUGGGUUUGCUGGCCUCUUGAGGUCAGCUCCCCUUAAAUGCAUUAGCGGACAACAUUUUGCCAACCGUUCAUUGGUGUGAUAAUUAUCUACGCUAUUGACGUGAAGCAAGGUUCAGCUUCUAACAGUCCAUUGACUUGGAUAAAUUCAUUUUAUUAAUGUGACCUCAAAUCA
Molecule: ribosomal RNA, 662 nt
Filed under: Calonarius saxamontanus
Lineage: Eukaryota; Fungi; Basidiomycota; Agaricomycetes; Agaricales; Cortinariaceae
Description: eukaryotic LSU rRNA
Rfam family: 5.8S ribosomal RNA (bases 309-462)
Source: RNAcentral